This 156-nucleotide ribosomal RNA is filed under the name uncultured bacterium. RNAcentral's name for it is "partial 16S ribosomal RNA". It matches the Rfam family "Bacterial small subunit ribosomal RNA", at positions 1345 to 1500 of the family's 1533-position model. The record is from RNAcentral.
CGGAUCAGAAUGCCGCGGUGAAUACGUUCCCGGGUCUUGUACACACCGCCCGUCACACCAUGGGAGCCGGAAACGCCCGAAGCCAGUGGCCUGACCGUAAGGAGGGAGCUGUCGAAGGCGGGUCCGGUGACCGGGGUGAAGUCGUAACAAGGUAUC